Molecule: long non-coding RNA, 2422 nt
Filed under: Homo sapiens (human)
Lineage: Eukaryota; Metazoa; Chordata; Mammalia; Primates; Hominidae
Description: HSALNT0260220
Source: RNAcentral
CCUCGGGGCCACCGCCGCCGCCACCGCUGUCUCCUCCACCUGCUUCCCGGCCUGGGAGGGGGGUCAGGGUCAGAGGCCGUCCGGGACCCUCGGGGGGCAGAUGCGGCCCCGAAGGCCCGUCCCCCUCCCCCGGAGAACCCUUCCACCCCAGACGUGCUGCGGGAAGGCCUUGUCAGCGGAUUGGCUCCCUCCGGGUCCAGGGACUCCGGCUGAAGCGAUCUGCGACGUGCGCACGUGGUACGGGAAGUUCUUGUUGGCCGCUGAUGGGCGGGUCAUGAUCUGAGGCCAGGGCCAGGAGCAGGUGUGAGAGGCACUGUCAGGCCGGAGGCUGUCCCCAUAAACUUGGGGUCCGAAGGAUUCCCUUUCAGUUGACAUCCACCACACUUCCCUGAAGCCAUUCACACUGGAUUAGGCGUCCCCUCUGGGCUCUCCAAAUGCCCUGGACCCUCACCUUUUCCCUUCAACAAAACUCGGCCUGUGCUUCCUCCAUCAGAGGCCUGAUCACUGAGCUGUCACUGAUUGCUUAGGGUCAGCGUCCUGCACUGUAUGAUAGCCACUGGCUGCAUGUAGCUUAAAUUUAAUCAAAAUAAAAUUUAAAUUUUGGUCACACUCCUCACUACACACUCACUAUGCACUACCCACAUUCAAGUGCUCAACAGCCACAUGUGGUUAGUAGCUCCCAUAUUGGAAAGUGCAGGUAAUAGGAUAUUUUCAUAAAUACAGAAAGUUCAAUUGGACAGCAACUAAUAGACUCUAAAAUGUCUCGAUGAGGCAGGAACCAGACUCUUCUGUUCCCUACUGAGUCCCUAGUACCUUCUAGAACCAUGCCUGGCGCAUAUAAGCCUUCAGUAAAUAUUGGUGGGCAAGGCGCCAUGGCUCACGCCUGUAAUCCCAGCACUUGGGGAGGCCGAGGCGGGCGGAUCACCUGAGGUCAGGAGUUUGAGACCAGCAUGGCCAACAUGGUGAAACUCCAUCUCUACUAAAAAUACAAAAAUUAGCCAGGUGUGGUGGUGCGCCUGUAAUCCCAGCUACUUGGGAGGCUAAGGCAGGAGAAUUGCUUGAACCCAGGAGGCAGAGGUUGCAGUGAGCCGAGAUCAUGCCACUGCACUCCAACCUGGACGACAGAGGAAGAUUCCAUCUCAAAAAAAAAAAAUUUAAAAUAAAUAAAUAAAUAAAUAAAUAUUGGUGGAAUGUAGGGAUGUCUGGUACCAGUUAGUCUGAUAGGCUGUGAAGGCAGGGACUGGGUGUGACUCCACCGCCAUAUCCCGGAAACCUAACACAGCUCUUCUAAGGUUGUGCUGAAAAAAAUGAACAAGGAGCUGAAAGCAAUGAGCGUUGAGAUACCCAGGUGGAGCUGUGCUGAGCUAACGUGAGCAUCCUUAGGAAGGAAGCUGGCUGAGAUACAGCAGGAAGGGCGCUGUGCUUGCCGUUCUGAGCCUGCAUCCCGCCUCUGGGAUCUGUAGCUCACUGAGUAUGGGAUCUGGGGCAUGUUGAUUAAACUCCCUGAGCCUCGCUGUGGGGAAAAGGGACUGUAGCGCCUACUUGGAAAGAUGAGAGGGUGGAAAUGAAAACCACUGGUGCAGAGCCCAGCACAUGAUGGGUUCUCAGCAUUUCUCCUCUUUCUGUCCCUUUCUGACUUCCUGCAGAGCUUCAGGAUAGACCAGCCUGGGAAGGUGAGCGAGUCUGUACCUAUGUCAGCCUCUGAGGCAAAGGAUGGGGACCUGUCCCCUCCCUCGGUGGCUGGGCCCACUCCCUACACGGGGUACGUUGUAGAUCCCUGGAGUCAGAAGCUGGGACACUGGGUCAUGCCUGUUGCCCUUUCUGGUUCCCCUUCAUUUCAGACCUUGUGGUCUGCUGGAGAAGGAUAGGGUUCAAAGUAUUUGCCUGCCGCCAAAGGCCACGGAGCCCUGGCACGUCACUUCUCCUCUCUGGGCCUUAGCUUCCCCGCUCUGUGUAGUGGGAACAAUGUCAAUUAUCCACCCUCUCCUGGAGCUGCUCUGACAAUUAAACAAGAGGGCAGGAGUAAAUGCAUAUGGAUGUUCCUAGAAUGAAACAGACUGGUUCAAGACAGGUGCCCAGUGAACAAUUGAUGAAUAAAUUAAUGAAUAUUAGAACUGUCACCAAGAAUGUCAGAUAGGAUGUGAACCAGGGCAAAGAAUAGACGUGGUGGGGGCCAGGCGCAGUGGCUCACUCCUGUAAUCCCAGCACUUUGGGAGGCCGAGGCGGGCGGAUCAUGAGGUCAGGAGAUCGAGACCAUCCUGGCCAACAUAGUGAAACCCCGUCUCUACUAAAAAUACAAAAAAAAUUUGCUAGGCGUGGUGGUGGGCGCCUGUAGUCCCAGCUACUAGGGAGGCUGAGGCAGGGGAAUGGCAUGAACUUGGGAGGCAGAAGUUGCAGUGAGCCGAGAUCGCACCUCUGCACU